GAAAUAUGUUGCUCAAGAGAAAGCUGCUAACUUUUUUCUUUAAUGGUUUAACUCCAUUUAUAUUUCU
Molecule: transfer RNA, 67 nt
Filed under: Chironomus yoshimatsui
Lineage: Eukaryota; Metazoa; Arthropoda; Insecta; Diptera; Chironomidae
Description: tRNA-Ser
Source: RNAcentral